This 1343-nucleotide ribosomal RNA is filed under the name uncultured bacterium. Its description in RNAcentral is "16S ribosomal RNA". It matches the Rfam family "Bacterial small subunit ribosomal RNA", at positions 28 to 1378 of the family's 1533-position model. The record is from RNAcentral.
GACGAACGCUGGCGGCGUGCUUAACACAUGCAAGUCGAACGGAAAGGCCCUGCUUUUGUGGGGUGCUCGAGUGGCGAACGGGUGAGUAACACGUGAGUAACCUGCCCUUGACUUUGGGAUAACUUCAGGAAACUGGGGCUAAUACCGGAUAGGAGCUCCUGCUGCAUGGUGGGGGUUGGAAAGUUUCGGCGGUUGGGGAUGGACUCGCGGCUUAUCAGCUUGUUGGUGGGGUAGUGGCUUACCAAGGCUUUGACGGGUAGCCGGCCUGAGAGGGUGACCGGCCACAUUGGGACUGAGAUACGGCCCAGACUCCUACGGGAGGCAGCAGUGGGGAAUAUUGCACAAUGGGCGGAAGCCUGAUGCAGCAACGCCGCGUGCGGGAUGACGGCCUUCGGGUUGUAAACCGCUUUCGCCUGUGACGAAGCGUGAGUGACGGUAAUGGGUAAAGAAGCACCGGCUAACUACGUGCCAGCAGCCGCGGUGAUACGUAGGGUGCGAGCGUUGUCCGGAUUUAUUGGGCGUAAAGGGCUCGUAGGUGGUUGAUCGCGUCGGAAGUGUAAUCUUGGGGCUUAACCCUGAGCGUGCUUUCGAUACGGGUUGACUUGAGGAAGGUAGGGGAGAAUGGAAUUCCUGGUGGAGCGGUGGAAUGCGCAGAUAUCAGGAGGAACACCAGUGGCGAAGGCGGUUCUCUGGGCCUUUCCUGACGCUGAGGAGCGAAAGCGUGGGGAGCGAACAGGCUUAGAUACCCUGGUAGUCCACGCUGUAAACGGUGGGUACUAGGUGUGGGGUCCAUUCCACGGGUUCCGUGCCGUAGCUAACGCUUUAAGUACCCCGCCUGGGGAGUACGGCCGCAAGGCUAAAACUCAAAGGAAUUGACGGGGCCCCGCACAAGCGGCGGAGCAUGCGGAUUAAUUCGAUGCAACGCGUAGAACCUUACCUGGGUUUGACAUGGAUCGGGAGUGCUCAGAGAUGGGUGUGCCUCUUUUGGGGUCGGUUCACAGGUGGUGCAUGCCUGUCGUCAGCUCGUGUCGUGAGAUGUUGGGUUAAGUCCCGCAACGAGCGCAACCCUUGUUCACUGUUGCCAGCACGUUAUGGUGGGGACUCAGUGGAGACCGCCGGGGUCAACUCGGAGGAAGGUGGGGAUGACGUCAAGUCCUCAUGCCCCUUAUGUCCAGGGCUUCACGCAUGCUACAAUGGCUGGUACAGAGAGUGGCGAGCCUGUGAGGGUGAGCGGAUCCCGGAAAGCCGGUCUCAGUUCGGAUUGGGGUCUGCAACUCGACCUCAUGAAGUCGGAGUCGCUAGUAAUCGCAGAUCAGCAACGCUGCGGUGAAUACGUUCCCGGG